UCGAGGAUCUUCGGCAAUGGGCGCAAGCCUGACCGAGCGACGCCGCGUGUGCGAUGAAGGCCUUCGGGUUGUAAAGCACUGUCGAGGGGGAUAAAGCCCGCAAGGGUUGAUAGAUCCCUGGAGGAAGCACGGGCUAAGUUCGUGCCAGCAGCCGCGGUAAGACGAACCGUGCGAACGUUGUUCGGAAUCACUGGGCUUAAAGGGCGCGUAGGCGGGGUCGUAAGUUCGUGGUGAAAUCUCCCGGCUCAACCGGGAAACUGCCGUGGAUACUGCGACUCUCGAGGGGUGUAGGGGCAUGCGGAACUUCCGGUGGAGCGGUGAAAUGCGUAGAUAUCGGAAGGAACGCCGGUGGCGAAAGCGGCGUGCUGGACACCUACUGACGCUGAGGCGCGAAAGCCAGGGGAGCGAACGGGAUUAGAUACCCCCGUAGUCC
RNAcentral lists this ribosomal RNA (433 nucleotides) under uncultured bacterium. Its description in RNAcentral is "bacterial SSU rRNA". It matches the Rfam family "Bacterial small subunit ribosomal RNA", at positions 355 to 796 of the family's 1533-position model. The record is from RNAcentral.